AGAACCAACAAGAGAUCACCUGCAGAUUGGAGACUGAAGAAGCUGGUGGUGUAUUUCAAAAGCCUGAGAGGCAGAGGUGAAUGGUGUAGAUUUCAGUUUUAGUUCGAAAGCCUGAAAACCGGGAAUGCUAAGGGCAGAAGAAGGAAUGUUCCAGCUCAAGCAGUCAAGCAGAAGAAAAAAAUUCCACUGAUUUUAUAUCUCUUUGCUCUGAUUUCCGUGACAUGGCUUUGGGGAGGACUACACAUGGCCUACAGACACUUCUGGAUGUUGGUUCUCUUUGUCAUUUUCAACAGUCUGCAGGGACUUUAUGUUUUCGUGGUUUAUUUCAUUUUACACAACCAAAUGUGUUGCCCUAUGAAGGCCAGUUACACUGUGGAAAUGAAUGGGCAUCCUGGACCCAGCACAGCCUUUUUCACGCCCGGGAGUGGAAUGCCUCCUGCUGGAGGGGAAAUCAGCAAGUCCACCCAGAAUCUCAUCAGUGCUAUGGAGGAGGUGCCACCUGACUGGGAGAGAGCAUCCUUCCAACAGGGCAGUCAGGCCAGCCCUGAUUUAAAGCCAAGUCCACAAAAUGGAGCCACGUUCCCGUCCUCUGGAGGAUAUGGCCAGGGGUCACUGAUAGCCGAUGAGGAGUCCCAGGAGUUUGAUGAUUUAAUAUUUGCAUUAAAAACUGGUGCUGGUCUCAGUGUCAGUGAUAAUGAAUCUGGUCAAGGCAGCCAGGAGGGGGGCACCUUGACUGACUCCCAGAUCGUGGAGCUCAGGAGGAUACCCAUCGCCGACACUCACCUGUAGCACCUCACUAACCAUUCGACUGAGCACACUUUCAUAUUUGUAUCAGCUUUUGUGCUAAAACUCUCUAAGUACAUCCACCUGUGUAAUAGGAACCUGUGAACUGUACUGGAUGAUUAACACAAACGUGAUUGUUGUAUUUGGAGUAUAAAUUACUGAUUGUAUGUGACCUGAAAAUUCACUGCUAUAAGAAAGGUGGAGUCAGUUUGUAUCAGUUAAUAGGAUGUUCAUAUUCCAAGGAUAUUAGUUGUUUUUUUAAUCAUCCUAUAUGGCUAACAUUGUUUAAUGAAAGUAAUAAUCAAUAAAGCAAUAGAA
RNAcentral lists this small RNA (1101 nucleotides) under Pan troglodytes (chimpanzee). RNAcentral's name for it is "processed transcript". Lineage: Eukaryota; Metazoa; Chordata; Mammalia; Primates; Hominidae. The record is from RNAcentral.